RNAcentral lists this ribosomal RNA (460 nucleotides) under uncultured bacterium. RNAcentral's name for it is "bacterial SSU rRNA". It matches the Rfam family "Bacterial small subunit ribosomal RNA", at positions 28 to 507 of the family's 1533-position model. The record is from RNAcentral.
GACGAACGCUGGCGGCGUGCCUAACACAUGCAAGUCGAACGGAGUUGAUCCUUCGGGAUUAACUUAGUGGCGGACGGGUGAGUAACGCGUGGGUAACCUGCCUCACACAGGGGGAUAACAGUUGGAAACGACUGCUAAUACCGCAUAAUGUACUUUGGGGGCAUCCCCGAGGUACCAAAGCUUUAUGUGCUGAAAGAUGGUCUCGCGUCUGAUUAGCUAGUUGGCGGGGUAACGGCCCACCAAGGCGACGAUCAGUAGCCGGUCUGAGAGGAUGAACGGCCACAUUGGGACUGAGAUACGGCCCAGACUCCUACGGGAGGCAGCAGUGAGGAAUAUUGGGCAAUGGGCGCAAGCCUGACCCAGCAAUGCCGCGUGAAGGAUGAAGGUUUUCGGAUUGUAAACUCUUUUAAGAGGGACGAUAAUGACGGUACCUCUUGAAUAAGCCACGGCUAACUACGUG